RNAcentral lists this ribosomal RNA (1103 nucleotides) under Ptychostomum pallescens. RNAcentral describes it as "eukaryotic LSU rRNA". Lineage: Eukaryota; Viridiplantae; Streptophyta; Bryopsida; Bryales; Bryaceae. The record is from RNAcentral.
GGCGACGACGGGGAUUCUAAUAAAUUCUUAUCCUUAUCAUUAAGGAAGGAGAGUCGUACAAGUUUCCGUAGGUGAACUGCGAAGGAUCAUUGCACACCCAAACUGCAAAGAAGCCAACCCAAACUGGGUCCGGUCUCUCGUGGCGCUCCUCGGGGGGCGCUGCGGGUGCCGGACUCUCUGAGAAUGCGAGUUUUACCUUCGAACAUUCUGAAGCUCUUCGGGUGGCUGCCGAGCGCUCCUCCGGGUGCGCCCCCUACUUGGGACGUCCUCCUCCUCUUCAAGGCUGCAUUCAGCUCCUCAGCCUGUCGCCCCCGGCCGGAACUUUGGCUCGCGGUGCUCGGUCUAGGCCGAAUCCACUUAGCGGUCACGGGACUGGAUCCGGGAUUAGWACCGGCAGGCGGGGAGUGCUACCGCGGGAGGGCUAGGGAGGGUCCCMGCCGCCCCCAAGUGAAGUGCGUACCCGAAACUCUGSARGAGUUUUGCGAGGCASUGCUCGUUAGGAKUGGAAACCCCGAAUGAAAAAUUAUUUCCAAAGUCCCCAAGACUGAGGACCCUUAUUUUGACCCGAGAGUUUGAGCCCACUUCCGAGUGGGGGACUCGAACACACGAGUUGUGAAUCUAAUCUAACUUAGAACAACUCUCAGCAACGGAUAUCUUGGCUCUUGCAACGAUGAAGAACGCAGCGAAAUGCGAUACGUAGUGUGAAUUGCAGAAUUCCGCGAAUCAUCGAGUUUUUGAACGCAAGUUGCGCCCGAGGCUUGUCCGAGGGCAUUUCCGCUAGAGCGUCACCGCGCCCCCCCCACCACACUCCCCAAGUUUUUGGAGUGUUCUGAGUGGAACUGGCCGUCCCGGGAAUCGGGUCGGCUGAAAUGGAGGGAAUUUUGCCGCCGUGGCAUCACUUGCCCCCGCGAUCAGGUGCGAUCUCGAAAGAGUCUUCCAAGUGCGGGGCUCCCACAGUGAGCCCGAGUGCGUGCCGGAGUUCCACAGCAGGCUACCUUUUACCCCACUUGGGCCAGCAAUGGCCCUUCGGAACGAGAAGGAAAAGAGGUAACGCAUCCGACCUCUAAUCGGAAAAGACCACCCGCCGAGUUAAGCAUAUUAAU